Molecule: long non-coding RNA, 1338 nt
Filed under: Vulpes vulpes (red fox)
Lineage: Eukaryota; Metazoa; Chordata; Mammalia; Carnivora; Canidae
Description: lncRNA (ENSVVUG00000014458.1)
Source: RNAcentral
UGCAUUGCAGUUUGGGGAGAGGAGAGGACAUCCCCACUAGAAGAGGCUGGAGGGCCUGCCCGUGACCUCACAACAGAUGAUGAUGCCAGCCAGGUGCCGGGCCCUUCAUGCUGUCCAUCUCCUGUGCUUUCUUCCUCCACCCGACAUCUGUAGGCUCCUGUUACUCAGAGAGAAACUCAGAGCCACAAGGGGAACAUCAGCAGUGCUGACUAUCCUGGAUGAUGAGCCAUGAUGUUACUGCCCCGAAGAGGCUCCCUUGCCCUGCAAGGCCCCUGGAUGGCCACUGUGGCCAGAGCAGGCCCUGCUGUGGCCUAUGACGAGCAGGGUGAGGGUGCUGGCCCCUUGGAUCACAGCCUUCAGUUGCUUGCCUCAUCCUUGAGCCAGACUGGCUCCCCAAGUUGUACCCAGUGCCUCUUCCAGGCGGUGCACGGCAGUCAGCCCUCCAGUAAGAGUCUGAGAGAAAUGGGAUCGUGGCCCAUCUUCCAAAACUUUAGGCCCUUGGAGAGAAGAGGCAGUGAACGAAAAUCACUAACACGGUGGAAAACAGGAAGGAUCCAGAAGAACGACAGACAUAUAAAGGGCUGCUGCACAACACCCUUAAUUUUGGCUCCCAAGAUCCAGCUCCCCAUUCUUUCUGAUCAGCUUGUUAGAGACAGAAGGAUCCAUGACUUGGGGUUCACGUGCCUGGGUGUAUCUGGCUUUGCAGGUAGCCAACAGUGUGACUUAGGACAAGUCAUUUGCCACGGAUUAGAGGAGAUGAGCUAAGGACUCCCCGACCUGCCAUACUGUAUGAUCCUAAAGUGACAGAGGAGACAGGAGGGGAAAGCAUGGGUACCCAGGGCAGCAGACAAGCUGUGAGCCCCAGCCGGGCUGUUUGUUUAAUAGAGUCCCCUCCCCACCCGUCCUAUUACCGCAGCUUAUUAGAGGGGGUUUAUGAAAAGACUGGAAUCCAUGCUCCGGGGUCCAUACUGCUCUGGCGGAGGGUUUAGCACCAUAAAACUCACUUUGUAAAAGUGCAGCAGCUGUGAUAAAUAAGCUUAAGCCUCAGUAAUCACUUUUUCACUUUUACCAAUUACGCUAGGCUGCUUUGUGACAGAAGUUAAUGCCAAGUAAGAAUUUUAAAGAAGCCUCAUUUUCCUUGUCUAAUUAAAUUAAGUACUUGAAAGGUGAUUCACGUGUUGAUUCCCCCCCCUCCCCACAUUAGUCAACUGAAAAUUACAGGGUCUUUUAGAAGUCGGGGCCACGUGACCCGCCUGCUCAGCCUCUAAGGGUCAGGGAGCCCUCACCCCUGGACGCUCUCCUGCUGGCCUCCCACCUAACCCAUGUUUUGUGUGUGGC